This 669-nucleotide long non-coding RNA is filed under the name Monodelphis domestica (gray short-tailed opossum). RNAcentral's name for it is "lncRNA (ENSMODG00000034847.2)". Lineage: Eukaryota; Metazoa; Chordata; Mammalia; Didelphimorphia; Didelphidae. The record is from RNAcentral.
UAAUUUGGGGUGAUAUCUAGUACAGAACUAUGGCUAAUGAGGAAGAGACCCUUGUCAUCUUUCUGGUUUUGGGGGUGACCCUGCCCCAAAGCAUUAUUAAGGGGCUGGAGAUUAUUUAGCACAACUGAUGGUCCUCCUAGCCUCCUAGGUCUUCAUCAGUGGGAAUGAAGUCUCCUUCACCUCCACCUCCAUCUCCCCAUACUUUCUCCAGCUCAGAAGCCUCAUCAGGACACAAAAGAGACCCUGAGUGUUCAGAGACCAAUCCAGAGGAACACAAGCUAAAAGAAGCUCAUCACCAGAAGAUUGGUCAACAGGGGAUAAUUUUCAUAAACACAUGAAGACUUUCUGCUAAAAUUGUUGGGAUAUUCAUUGGAAGAGAGGAAGAAAAUCCAAAGGAAAAGGAGGAGGAGGAAAAGGAAGGGACCCUGAAUGGAAUUUUUUUUUCCUCCAAACAUAUGUAUCUUUACUUUCUUGAUAUUCUAAAACCAAAUUUCAACACUGACAAAAUUUGAAAUAUUUUACUAACCACAGUUAUUCAGGAAGUUCAAGGCUUUAAUUCUAGCAAGACUAGAUUCUUAUGAAAAAAUAUAUGGCUUUACAAAAGUACAAUGUGGCUAAAAACUGGUGAAAACAAAUAAAAGCAAUCAUAAAGCUAUAUACUUAAUGUUU